Cinara cedri is the source of this 810-nucleotide non-coding RNA. The record is from the annotation of a GenBank genome assembly. NCBI's taxonomy places the organism in Eukaryota, Metazoa, Arthropoda, Insecta, Hemiptera, Aphididae.
UAUACACUACAGAGAUAACCCUUUAAUUUGAUGAUCAAUUAUUUUAAUUGUACACAUGUUGUUCUUUUCAAAACAGAGGAUAUGUUGUUUCUUCCAUUAUAAUAUAGUCUUUACAUUAUAAAUUGGGUAAAUUGUGAAAAAAUUUAAUGCAUACCCGCAUUAGUGGUUACAAAACAACAGUUAUAGAUUGAGAUUGAAAGAAAAUCUUUAAAUUCAUAAAGCUAGUAAAUAUUAAAGACAUUUAUGGACCUAGGUAACAUUUCUAUUGUAGUAGUCAAACAUUCAAUUUUCAGUGAUAAGCAUUUACCUUAAUGUCAAUAUAGCUAUGUACAAUUAAUUAUGGUACAAAUUAUCAUUUGAGUGUUGGAUGCAUUGAAAGGAGAUCCUGAAAUCGAAAGGUUAUAACGAGCCUAAUGAAAUAUACUGGCUCGAUAUAACACUUCAAUUCUAACAUCUAUCAUUCUAUAAUGUUCAAAUAUCAUAGUCCUAAAUUCAACAAAGGGGUAGAUUAUACAAAUUCCAAACACUAUAUCUCACUAUAAUUCGAUACUUAAUUUAUUCAAAUAUCAUAGUCCUAAAUUCAACAAAGGGGUAGAUUAUACAAAUUCCAAACACUAUAUCUCACUAUAAUUCGAUACUCAAUUUAUUAAAAUACAAUAAACAGACAUAUUGAUAGCUUAUCAUUAAAUGUAUGUGAACCCUGAUAUUAAAAUGCUAAAACAACGCAUAAUUUUCAAUUUGUUCAAGUUAAACAAGUAAAUUAUUAUAAUCUAUUAUUGAUCUAAAAUGAUAAAGUCUAUUAUAAAGAAA